RNAcentral lists this ribosomal RNA (389 nucleotides) under Eimeria sp. 1 JM-2013. RNAcentral describes it as "SSU rRNA". It matches the Rfam family "Eukaryotic small subunit ribosomal RNA", at positions 677 to 1071 of the family's 1831-position model. Lineage: Eukaryota; Apicomplexa; Conoidasida; Eucoccidiorida; Eimeriidae. The record is from RNAcentral.
CCUGGUUUGCCCUCGGCUUUCUUCCGGUAGCCUUCCGCGCUUCACUGCGUGUGUUGGUGUUCCGGAACUUUUACUUUGAGAAAAAUAGAGUGUUUCAAGCAGGCUUGUCGCCCUGAAUACUUCAGCAUGGAAUAAUAAGAUAGGACCUUGGUUCUAUUUUGUUGGUUUCUAGGACCAAGGUAAUGGUUAAUAGGGACAGUUGGGGGCAUUCGUAUUUAACUGUCAGAGGUGAAAUUCUUAGAUUUGUUAAAGACGAACUACUGCGAAAGCAUUUGCCAAGGAUGUUUUCAUUAAUCAAGAACGACAGUAGGGGGUUUGAAGACGAUUAGAUACCGUCGUAAUCUNNACCAUAAACUAUGCCGACUAGAGAUAGGGAAACGCCUACCUUG